GUGGGGAAUUUUGGACAAUGGGCGCAAGCCUGAUCCAGCAAUGCCGCGUGCAGGAAGAAGGCCUUCGGGUUGUAAACUGCUUUUGUACGGAACGAAACGGUCCGGGUUAAUACCCUGGGCUAAUGGCGGUACCGUAAGAAUAAGCACCGGCUAACUACGUGCCAGCAGCCGCGGUAAUACGUAGGGUGCAAGCGUUAAUCGGAAUUACUGGGCGUAAAGCGUGCGCAGGCGGUUUUGUAAGACAGGCGUGAAAUCCCCGGGCUCAACCUGGGAAUUGCGCUUGUGACUGCAAGGCUGGAGUGCGGCAGAGGGGGAUGGAAUUCCGCGUGUAGCAGUGAAAUGCGUAGAUAUGCGGAGGAACACCGAUGGCGAAGGCAAUCCCCUGGGCCUGCACUGACGCUCAUGCACGAAAGCGUGGGGAGCAAACAGGAUUAGAAACCCCUGUAGUCC
Molecule: ribosomal RNA, 450 nt
Filed under: uncultured bacterium
Lineage: Bacteria
Description: partial 16S ribosomal RNA
Rfam family: Bacterial small subunit ribosomal RNA
Source: RNAcentral